GACGAAACGUGCGAACGUUAUUCGGAAUCACUGGGCUUAAAGCGCGUGUAGGCGGGUCGGCGCGUCGGCCGCUGAAAUCCCCCGGCUCAACCGGGGAAGGGGCGCCGAGACGGCCGGCCUGGAGGGGCGUAGGGGGGGCUGGAACUUCCGGUGGAGCGGUGAAAUGCGUUGAGAUCGGAAGGAACGCCCGUGGCGAAAGCGAGCCCCUGGACGUCUACUGACGCUGAGACGCGAAAGCCAGGGGAGCGAACGGG
This 254-nucleotide ribosomal RNA is filed under the name uncultured bacterium. RNAcentral's name for it is "partial 16S ribosomal RNA". It matches the Rfam family "Bacterial small subunit ribosomal RNA", at positions 524 to 776 of the family's 1533-position model. The record is from RNAcentral.